AAUUUACUCCCUCCGUCCCAAAAUAACUGUCUUAAACUUAAUACAAUUUUGUAUUAGAGUUAGUACAAAGUCAAGACAUUUAUUUUGGGACGGAGGGAGUAUAAU
This 105-nucleotide microRNA precursor is filed under the name Hordeum vulgare. Its description in RNAcentral is "microRNA MIR1122". It matches the Rfam family "MIR1120/MIR1122 microRNA precursor family". The record is from RNAcentral. Lineage: Eukaryota; Viridiplantae; Streptophyta; Magnoliopsida; Poales; Poaceae.